RNAcentral lists this transfer RNA (75 nucleotides) under Hestiella acidicharens (SeqCode). Its description in RNAcentral is "Candidatus Hestiella acidicharens tRNA-Arg". It matches the Rfam family "tRNA". Rfam says of the family: Transfer RNA (tRNA) molecules are approximately 80 nucleotides in length. Their secondary structure includes four short double-helical elements and three loops (D, anti-codon, and T loops). Lineage: Archaea; Thermoproteati; Thermoproteota; Thermoprotei; Acidilobales; Acidilobaceae. The record is from RNAcentral.
GGACCCGUAGCUCAGCCAGGAGAGAGCGUCAGCUUCCGGAGCUGAGGGUCGGGGGUUCGAAUCCCCCCGGGUCCG